UGAUGUGGUAGUUUUCUUUUGGCCAAUUUGUUAAGUAUCAAAUCGGCCUGACUCUGCCACAAAGAUUACAUAGGAGCAAACAGUCUUGGUGAUGGUCAGGCCUCAUCUGAGCCUCUCCCCACUUCAAACCUUACUUCAGCUCCCACAUGC
This 150-nucleotide small nucleolar RNA is filed under the name Notamacropus eugenii (tammar wallaby). RNAcentral describes it as "Small nucleolar RNA SNORA12 (ENSMEUG00000017200.1)". It matches the Rfam family "Small nucleolar RNA SNORA12". From Rfam's summary of the family: U108 belongs to the H/ACA family of snoRNAs. The sequence is predicted to guide the pseudouridylation of the U372 residue in the 28S rRNA subunit. Lineage: Eukaryota; Metazoa; Chordata; Mammalia; Diprotodontia; Macropodidae. The record is from RNAcentral.